This 252-nucleotide ribosomal RNA is filed under the name uncultured prokaryote. Its description in RNAcentral is "partial 16S rRNA". It matches the Rfam family "Archaeal small subunit ribosomal RNA", at positions 475 to 726 of the family's 1478-position model. The record is from RNAcentral.
ACCGGCAGCUCAAGUGGUGGCCGUUUUUAUUGGGCCUAAAGCGUUCGUAGCCGGUUUGAUAAGUCUCUGGUGAAAUCCCGCAGCUCAACUGUGGGAAUUGCUGGAGAUACUAUCAGACUUGAGGUCGGGAGAGUUUAGAGGUACUCCCAGGGUAGGAGUGAAAACCUAUAACCCUGGAAGUACGACCUGUGGUGGAGGCGUCUAAUUAGAAAGAGCCUGAUCGUGAGUAUCGAUAGCCAGGGGUGGGAGCCG